AGAUACGGUUGGACGCGUUUACGUACGUUUCUAGAGAUCCUCCGCGCGCGCGAAGUCUCGUCUCGAGUCUAAAUCCACAUUCGAAUGUGCGAGAAAACAUAGCAAGAUUAAUGAUUUGUGUGACACGAGGGAGAGGGUGCGCAGACCGUCAGCCUGCCUGCCAGGCUGCUCGGCCGCCGACGGCGGCUGCGGCACGGAGCGCCGCAAGGAAACGCAAACUGCGCGGCAAUAGCUUUGCCACUUUUCUCAUAGUACAUUGUCCGUAUUUCUCCGUCACGCAGCAGCAAGCCGUCUUACGAAACUAUUGACCCGAUUCUAUGGAUUCCGCACCACUUUAAGUGACGUCUCUCAAUUGAUCGGUGGGACCGGUCGGGAAAGUAUCUUGGAUCCUUUAUCAAUAUGGCGGAAGAACCCAGCGACUUUGGAGAAUACGAACCAGGCUUGAAGGCGUACCCCGCGGGGUAAGAUGGCUGUGGCCCUGACCACCUGCUGCCUCUUUGAUUCUGCCGCUAGAAUCUCAUUUAGCCGUGUAAUCCCGAUGUUCAUUGACGAUGGAUCACCCCGUCCGCCGAGCAUUCUGUCUGACGCCGCAUUUGGGUAGAGAUAUCGAGAUUGGAGGAAGAACGAGGUGAAGCCAUACCUGUGGAUCGGUACCUCGAAAGUUACGGGGUCCCGCUGCAGUUGAUUAACGAUGUGAGCGUCCAGGUCGAGGUGGGUGGCGCAUGCCUUUGUGACAGCACAGCCGCUCCUCCGCUCCUCGACAUCGCCACCGUUGCUAUCACGGAUUAUUAUAACUCGUACGUUUCAUCUGCCUUCUUCAUCGGCUGUUCAGUAGACAUCGAAAUGGUCACCGGUUAUCGUCACGUUCGUUAAUCUACGCGGUGGUUCGAAGCCCAACUUUGUAUACCCCCUUCGAGAAUAAAUAACAAAAGUCUCUCCGCGAAGUCAGUUUUUUUUAAUAUUAUUUUUCAUGCUGAAUAGUUUCGAACAUGAAAAUCGCAAUUUGAUAAAUUUCUUGUCAAAGAUUUCAAACAGAGACAGAAUGAAAAUUGCGUAUUUAAGCAUGAUUUUCCGCCGUGAUGUAUUUUUUUCUAUAUACAGGUAUCUGUUUUGCACAGAAUUAUUAACAAGUCA
This is a non-coding RNA of Linepithema humile (Argentine ant), 1134 nucleotides long. Lineage: Eukaryota; Metazoa; Arthropoda; Insecta; Hymenoptera; Formicidae. The record is from RefSeq and is a predicted model, not a curated record.